GCGAAGCAGCGAUGUGAAGCAAAUCGCACCAAAGCCGGUCCCAGUUCGGAUAAGAGGCUGAAACUCGCCUCUUUGAAGUCGGAAUCGCUAGUAAUCGCAGAUCAGCAUGUUGCGGUGAAUACGUUUCCUGGUCUUGUACACACCGCCCGUCAAACCAUGAGAGUCGCCAACACCCGAAGUCCGCUUUGCGGCCUAAGGUGGGGGAGAUGAUUGGGGUUAAGUCGUAACAAGGUACC
Molecule: ribosomal RNA, 236 nt
Filed under: uncultured bacterium
Lineage: Bacteria
Description: partial 16S ribosomal RNA
Rfam family: Bacterial small subunit ribosomal RNA
Source: RNAcentral